RNAcentral lists this ribosomal RNA (428 nucleotides) under uncultured bacterium. RNAcentral's name for it is "partial 16S ribosomal RNA". It matches the Rfam family "Bacterial small subunit ribosomal RNA", at positions 356 to 801 of the family's 1533-position model. The record is from RNAcentral.
GGGGAAUAUUGCACAAUGGGCGAAAGCCUGAUGCAGCAACGCCGCGUGAGUGAUGAAGGUCUUCGGAUUGUAAAGCUCUGUCUUUUGGGACGAUAAUGACGGUACCAAAGGAGGAAGCCACGGCUAACUACGUGCCAGCAGCCGCGGUAAUACGUAGGUGGCGAGCGUUGUCCGGAUUUACUGGGCGUAAAGGGUGCGUAGGCGGAUGUUUAAGUGAGAUGUGAAAUACCCGGGCUUAACUUGGGUGCUGCAUUUCAAACUGGAUAUCUAGAGUGCAGGAGAGGAGAAUGGAAUUCCUAGUGUAGCGGUGAAAUGCGUAGAGAUUAGGAAGAACACCAGUGGCGAAGGCGAUUCUCUGGACUGUAACUGACGCUGAGGCACGAAAGCGUGGGUAGCAAACAGGAUUAGAUACCCUGGUAGUCCACGCC